AAAUUUGCUCCAUUCCCCCAUUAUUUCCUCUCUCUUCUUUCCCUCUCAUCACUCUCUCUUCUCUCUCCCCCAAGCCACUGCCGCCGCCGGCGGACCACCUCCAAACACCUCCAAAUUCACACCAUGUAAUCUCCACAACUUCCUCUUUCCAUAUCUCCAAACCAAAUCCUUCAAAAAUCCCUCAAACUCCUUGAAUCUUAGAUCUAGGAAACUUUCCCGUCACUUUUUUGCCCAAAUUAUUGAAGCUCCAACCACUACCACCCCACAAUAUCUACAUAAAUGGAUAGAGCUCCUCAAGACCUAGCUAUUGAUGCCAAUUUCACCCUGAAAAUAUGGCGACCAAAAUCCGGCCAAAUUCCGGCGACCUCCCCGAACACCCUCUUUUGGCAUACCACCAUUUUUUCGGCCACUUGAAUUGUAAAAUGAUCAAAUCCUAUUCUUUCUGAUUUUUUAUUUUUAUUUUUAUUUGUCAGAUUUUAUUUUGUCUAUUAUUAAUUAUUUUAGCAUUAGUUUUUGAAGUUUUAAUUGUUAAAUUUUCUGUUUUUGCACUUGUUAAAGCAGUAAAAUAGUUUUGUAUUGAUAAAAGUGAGGUAGUGAAAAAUACUUAAGAGUAUAUGGUACUUGUUGGGUUGUUUAUUGCUGCUGAAGACUCUUUGAGUACAACACUCAAAGGUCAAAUUGUUUUUAAGAAAAUGUAGAUCUUUGGACAGUGUUUGAAUAAAAGUUUGUCUUUGAAUAGUGGAGAGCAAAUUUGUUUGAAAUACUUGACAAGAUUUGAACCAAAAAGUCUGGCCUUUUGAAUUUAAGAGCAGAUUUUGUAGAAAAAUCUGUCAAAAAGAUUGAUUUUUAUUUUUUGAAAUAGCUGGUUGUUUUGAUAUAUAGGGGGGACUCCAUCACACUUCCAGGGGGCAUUUUUUAUAAUUGCUUUGUCACAAAAACAAAAAAAAUUCAGCAGUUGAACACAUGAAAAGUAAGCUGAAAUGGUGAGCUUUGGGAAUGAAUCUUAGAGUGCAAACUUUUAAAAAAAGUAUAAGUCCUCUUUAGGGUUCGUUUCUGGGUUCCCUCUCUAAGUUUUCGGGUUGUUUUAACACGGAUUUGCUGCUGGUUUUGCUGCUGUUUUACUGCUGGUUUUAUGCUGCUUUAGUUGCUGAACUACUGUUUAUUCUUUUGCUACCAGGUAUUCCUUUAAGACUCGUAAUGUACGUAUUUUCAGCAAUGGGAACA
Molecule: long non-coding RNA, 1224 nt
Filed under: Nicotiana tabacum (common tobacco)
Lineage: Eukaryota; Viridiplantae; Streptophyta; Magnoliopsida; Solanales; Solanaceae
Description: long non-coding RNA (NTAB_LNC000662)
Source: RNAcentral